RNAcentral lists this ribosomal RNA (438 nucleotides) under Pleurodonte peracutissima. RNAcentral's name for it is "partial 16S ribosomal RNA". It matches the Rfam family "Bacterial large subunit ribosomal RNA", at positions 1831 to 2602 of the family's 2925-position model. The record is from RNAcentral. Lineage: Eukaryota; Metazoa; Mollusca; Gastropoda; Stylommatophora; Pleurodontidae.
AACUAGGUGUAUUCUAUGCUUAGCUUUUUCUGCUCAAUGAAUAUUUAAAUAGCCGCAGUACCCUGACUGUGCAAAGGUAGCAUAAUCAGUUGGCUCAUAAUUGGAGUCUUGUAUGAACGAUCGCAUGGGUAGAACCUGUCUCUAGGUGAUAAAUAGAACUUUUUGAGUAAGUGAAAAUACUUACUAGUAUUUUAAAAGACGAGAAGACCCUAGAAAUUUUUCACUAAGGGCGUAUAGUAGCGUUUUCGUGUUUUGCUGGGGCGGCAGAGUAACACUUAGUAACUUACUCUAUAUAUUAGACUUAUUUACGGAUAAACUAUAAUUACUCUAGGGAUAACAGCGUAAUUCUAUUGAGUUUGCGACCUCGAUGUUGGACUAGGGAGGAGAAUAUGCAGAAGGUAUUUUCUCACGUUCUGUUCGAACGAUGUCCCCUACAUG